AAUCCAUGGUGAUGGCAAUCACGUUCAUACUCCUUAAAAAGUUCCCAUACUUCAUAGAAAGAUUCAGUCGGCCCUUGCUGAAAGCUUGAGAUCUUUGGUCUCAGCAA
This is a small nucleolar RNA of Eutrema salsugineum, 107 nucleotides long. It matches the Rfam family "Plant small nucleolar RNA R71". Rfam says of the family: R71 is a member of the C/D box family of snoRNAs containing the C (UGAUGA) and D (CUGA) box motifs. Multiple nearly identical copies of this snoRNA have been identified in Arabidopsis, and it is thought to function as a 2'-O-ribose methylation guide for 18S ribosomal RNA. The record is from Rfam. Lineage: Eukaryota; Viridiplantae; Streptophyta; Magnoliopsida; Brassicales; Brassicaceae.